RNAcentral lists this unclassified non-coding RNA (200 nucleotides) under Lyophyllum sp. Its description in RNAcentral is "partial internal transcribed spacer 2". The record is from RNAcentral. Lineage: Eukaryota; Fungi; Basidiomycota; Agaricomycetes; Agaricales; Lyophyllaceae.
UUAAGUUCAGCGGGUAGUCUUGCCUGAUUUGAGGUCAAAAUGUCAAGAGUUGUCCCCUAAGGGACGGUUAGAAGCAGAACCUCAUAAAUGAAGACUUUCAACGGCGUAGAUAAUUAUCACACCAGAGGCGGUCAACAAAGGUUUCACUAAUGCAUUUAAGGAGAGCCGACUUCUGAGAAGCCCGCAGCCCCCACAUCCAA